GGUUUACCUGUGUGACUGCGUACCUUUUGUAUAAUGGGUCAGCGACUUAUAUUCUGUAGCAAGGUUAACCGAAUAGGGGAGCCGUAGGGAAACCGAGUCUUAACCGGGCGUUAAGUUGCAGGGUAUAGACCCGAAACCCGGUGAUCUAGCCAUGGGCAGGUUGAAGGUUGGGUAACACUAACUGGAGGACCGAACCGACUAAUGUUGAAAAAUUAGCGGAUGACCUGUGGCUGGGGGUGAAAGGCCAAUCAAACCGGGAGAUAGCUGGUUCUCCCCGAAAGCUAUUUAGGUAGCGCCUCGUGAAUUCAUCUCCGGGGGUAGAGCACUGUUUCGGCUAGGGGGCCAUCCCGGCUUACCAACCCGAUGCAAACUGCGAAUACCGGAGAAUGUUAUCACGGGAGACACACGGCGGGUGCUAACGUCCGUCGUGAAGAGGGAAACAACCCAGACCGCCAGCUAAGGUCCCAAAGUCAUGGUUAAGUGGGAAACGAUGUGGGAAGGCCCAGACAGCCAGGAUGUUGGCUUAGAAGCAGCCAUCAUUUAAAGAAAGCGUAAUAGCUCACUGGUCGAGUCGGCCUGCGCGGAAGAUGUAACGGGGCUAAACCAUGCACCGAAGCUGCGGCAGCGACACUGUGUGUUGUUGGGUAGGGGAGCGUUCUGUAAGCCUGUGAAGGUGUGUCGUGAGGCAUGCUGGAGGUAUCAGAAGUGCGAAUGCUGACAUAAGUAACGAUAAAGCGGGUGAAAAGCCCGCUCGCCGGAAGACCAAGGGUUCCUGUCCAACGUUAAUCGGGGCAGGGUGAGUCGACCCCUAAGGCGAGGCCGAAAGGCGUAGUCGAUGGGAAACGGGUUAAUAUUCCCGUACUUGGUGUUACUGCGAAGGGGGGACGGAGAAGGCUAUGUUGGCCGGGCGACGGUU
RNAcentral lists this ribosomal RNA (916 nucleotides) under Salmonella enterica subsp. enterica serovar Potsdam. RNAcentral's name for it is "partial 23S ribosomal RNA". It matches the Rfam family "Bacterial large subunit ribosomal RNA", at positions 582 to 1503 of the family's 2925-position model. The record is from RNAcentral. Lineage: Bacteria; Pseudomonadati; Pseudomonadota; Gammaproteobacteria; Enterobacterales; Enterobacteriaceae.